RNAcentral lists this ribosomal RNA (403 nucleotides) under uncultured bacterium. RNAcentral's name for it is "partial 16S ribosomal RNA". It matches the Rfam family "Bacterial small subunit ribosomal RNA", at positions 28 to 526 of the family's 1533-position model. The record is from RNAcentral.
GACGAACGCUGGCGGCGUGCCUAAUACAUGCAAGUCGAACGCAGUGGGGACGGGUGAGUAACACGUGGGUAACCUCACAUAAUCGGGGAUAACACUUGGAAACAGGUGCUAAACCGAUACUGAUGGAUGGACCCGCGGUGCAUUAGCUAGUUGGUGCGGGAACGGCUCACCAAGGCCACGAUGCAUAGCCGACCUGAUCGGGGGAUCGGCCACACUGGGACUGAGACACGGACCAGACUCCUACGGGAGGCAGCAGUAGGGAAUCUUCGGCAAUGGACGAAAGUCUGACCGAGCAACGCCGCGUGAGUGAAGAAGGUUUUCGGAUCGUAAAACUCUGUUUUUAGAGAAGCGGUAUCUAACCAGAAAGCCACGGCUAACUACGUGCCAGCCGCCGCGGUAAUUC